UUCAUUCGUCCCGCCAGAGACAUUCAGCAAUGGGCUGUUUUGUAUCCAUUACAAACGAGCAAUGUGAAAGUCUAGGAUUGGGGAGAGCGCCUAGUAUGCCUCUAGUGCAUAAGCAUGAAGUUGAACAUUUAGAUGAAA
Long non-coding RNA from Alosa sapidissima (American shad), 138 nucleotides. RefSeq lists it as uncharacterized. The record is from RefSeq and is a predicted model, not a curated record. The transcript is spliced from 3 exons. NCBI's taxonomy places the organism in Eukaryota, Metazoa, Chordata, Actinopteri, Clupeiformes, Clupeidae.